Molecule: ribosomal RNA, 434 nt
Filed under: uncultured Pseudobutyrivibrio sp.
Lineage: Bacteria; Bacillati; Bacillota; Clostridia; Lachnospirales; Lachnospiraceae
Description: partial 16S ribosomal RNA
Rfam family: Bacterial small subunit ribosomal RNA
Source: RNAcentral
ACGGGAGGCAGCAGUGGGGAAUAUUGCACAAUGGGCGAAAGCCUGAUGCAGCGACGCCGCGUGAGCGAAGAAGUAUUUCGGUAUGUAAAGCUCUAUCAGCAGGGAAGAUAAUGACGGUACCUGACUAAGAAGCACCGGCUAAAUACGUGCCAGCAGCCGCGGUAAUACGUAUGGUGCAAGCGUUAUCCGGAUUUACUGGGUGUAAAGGGAGCGUAGGCGGUUUUACAAGUCAGAUGUGAAAGCCCGGGGCUCAACUCCGGUACUGCAUUGGAAACUGUAGAACUAGAGUGACGGAGAGGUAAGUGGAAUUCCUAGUGUAGCGGUGAAAUGCGUAGAUAUUAGGAGGAACACCAGUGGCGAAGGCGGCUUACUGGACGAUUACUGACGCUGAGGCUCGAAAGCGUGGGGAGCAAACAGGAUUAGAUACCCUGGUA